This 512-nucleotide ribosomal RNA is filed under the name uncultured bacterium. Its description in RNAcentral is "partial 16S ribosomal RNA". It matches the Rfam family "Bacterial small subunit ribosomal RNA", at positions 28 to 523 of the family's 1533-position model. The record is from RNAcentral.
GAUGAACGCUGGCGACGUGCCUAAUACAUGCAAGUCGAGCGAAUGACGAGGAGCUUGCUCCUCUGAUUUAGCGGCGGACGGGUGAGCAACACGUGGGUAACCUGCCUGUAAGACGGGGAUAACUCCGGGAAACCGGAGCUAAUACCGGAUGAUAACGAGAAGCGCCUGCUUCUUUUUUGAAAGUCGGUUUCGGCUGACGCUUACAGAUGGGCCCGCGGCGCAUUAGCUAGUUGGUGAGGUAACGGCUCACCAAGGCGACGAUGCGUAGCCGACCUGAGAGGGUGAUCGGCCACACUGGGACUGAGACACGGCCCAGACUCCUACGGGAGGCAGCAGUAGGGAAUCUUCGGCAAUGGACGAAAGUCUGACCGAGCAACGCCGCGUGAGCGAUGAAGGCCUUCGGGUCGUAAAGCUCUGUUGUCAGAGAAGAACAAGUACCGGAGUAACUGCCGGUACCUUGACGGUACUUGACCAGAAAGCCACGGCUAACUACGUGCCAGCCGCCGCAGUAA